RNAcentral lists this ribosomal RNA (443 nucleotides) under uncultured bacterium. RNAcentral describes it as "bacterial SSU rRNA". It matches the Rfam family "Bacterial small subunit ribosomal RNA", at positions 373 to 793 of the family's 1533-position model. The record is from RNAcentral.
GGGGGAAACCCUGAUGCAGCCAUGCCGCGUGUGUGAAGAAGGCCUUCGGGUUGUAAAGCACUUUCAGUAGGGAGGAAGGUAGUGUAGUUAACACCUGCAUUAUUUGACGUUACCUACAGAAGAAGCACCGGCUAACUCCGUGCCAGCAGCCGCGGUAAUACGGAGGGGUGCGAGCGUUAAUCGGAAUUACUGGGCGUAAAGCGCAUGCAGGCGGCCUGUUAAGUCAGAUGUGAAAGACCCGGGGCCGUUAACCCUUACCGGAAUUGCAUUUGUAAACUAGGCAGGCUAGAGUCUUGUAGAGGGGGGUAGGAAGUUUCUAGGUGUAGCGGUGAAAUAGCGUAGAGAUCUGAAGGAAUACCAGUGGCGAAGGCGGCCCCCUCGGACAAAGACUGACGCUCAGAUGCGAAAGCGUGGGGAGCAAACAGGAUUAGAUACCCUGGUAG